AGUGCACAGCGAGUUAGUCGGAAAAUUUUACGUAUAAUACUCGAUGCUGUUCUCUUACGCGGAUGGCGUCCCUUGAGGGGAGCGUCAACCGCGGAGAGUGGUGGCAAGCAACUAACCUGUCACAUUGGGUGACUUAAGGGUCGUACGCCACGUAAGCAGACGAGGAAGAUAACGGGCUGUUGCAGAGGCAUUGGCAUAGCCCCAUGGCAUGAGGUGGAUUGUAAAGGUGGGCUCGCUUGGGAAACAUCGGAUAGUAGCGGGAACAGACAACUAAGCACAUGCGCCGAGGACAGCAGAGCGCAUGCGCCGACGAUGGGCGAGCAACCGGGAGAAAGAAGAGGGGGAAGAAACCUAAGACCAACAGCGGCAGCGGCAAUUUCAGUCUCAGUUUUGGUUCACACUUUGUACUACGCACAAGGGAACCCUCCCCAAAUAAAGAGAAUACACUGCCAACCUAA
This is a long non-coding RNA of Neodiprion fabricii, 458 nucleotides long. RefSeq lists it as uncharacterized. Lineage: Eukaryota; Metazoa; Arthropoda; Insecta; Hymenoptera; Diprionidae. The record is from RefSeq and is a predicted model, not a curated record. The transcript is spliced from 2 exons.